RNAcentral lists this long non-coding RNA (9239 nucleotides) under Gallus gallus (chicken). Its description in RNAcentral is "lncRNA (ENSGALG00010025901.1)". The record is from RNAcentral. Lineage: Eukaryota; Metazoa; Chordata; Aves; Galliformes; Phasianidae.
CCCCCCCCCCCCCAUCUCCAUGCAUUAACAUGCGAGGCGCCCGCUGACCUUUCUUUGCACUGCGUGUUGGGGAGGAGCGCAGCGCAGCGCGGGCUGCGGGCGGAGGGGACGGCGAUGCAGCUUCUAAUUUUGCCAUUACUGUCACAGGGGCCAUUUGUCACCCAGCCCGGGGAGACUCCACGCAUGGACAGACAGCAGCCCUUCCAGUGCUCCUCGUUGAGAUCGGGGUGGGGGGGGGGGGGGGGGGGGGGCUUUACCAGCGUGGGAAGGGUGGGGAGUGGGUUUCAAUCACCGUGCUGAGCCAAAAAGGGGAGAAAAGACCCCAAAAGGCCGCCGACAGCCACCCACCACCAUGCAAUCCAAUGGCAUUUUGGGGAUAAAGCAAGAUGGAUGGCGCAUCCCUGGGUGUCCCCCCCCCCCCCCCCCCUUCCUCGCUGCGUGCCCCCAUCUGUAGAGCAGAAGCGAUCGCCCUCCAUCCAGAUAUUAAUUCUCCUAUUAGAUUAAAUAACGCGAAGGGUUGUGCUGCUUUCAUUACGCGUCGUGGGCGAGCGAGCUGCCUGCAGCCUCUGCCUCCUCCUCGCCUCCCGCCAGCAGAGCACUAAUUAGCAACAGGCAGGAGAGAUGCUCGUCUGCCUCCCGCCCUUUAUUAAUUGCUGGUUCGCUUUCGGCGCCGUGCAGCUUUGCUUCACCUCUGCUCGCUUUUUGGCCGCUCCCUCACAGCAGGGAUUUGCUGCUGCUGCUCACACCCAUUGGCUUUCAUCACCAAAAAGGCCCAAAUACCCCCCUGGGCAUUUCCCUCGUGGCGGAGAACAGCGGUGCCACCCGACGCGACGCAGCCCCAAACCAGGGGGCUUUUGACGGCCUUUUGGCACUCUCCAACCCACCUAUUUCAGGAGGGCACCCACUGCAAGCUCAGCUCUUCGGGCUUUAAGCCCAACUGGCGGCACUCAGCUCCUUUCAACACCGCACCUCUACUUUGCAGCGCCGCCGGAGCUCUGCAGCGCCCGCACGGCCGUCGGCCCUCUCUGCAAACGAAGGCUGCGCCGGGCCGCGGGACGCCGUGCGUUUAAAUCCGAGCGCACCUUUCCCUUCUCCUCCCAUCCCUGCCGUCUCUCAGCACCUCUCCCUGCCCGUCCUCCCCCCGCAGCCGGGAAGCGCGGCGCUGCGUCCCGUAAGCCGGGGAUGUGCGGGGAGUCGCUCCCUCGGAGGGCGAUGCUCUUCCCGACCCGGUUCGGCUCAGCAACCUGCGGGAAGGAGAGAUGGAUUCUGCCCCGACCGCCGAGGGAGAGGCAGUAAAUCACCUCCCAUUGACCGAGGAGUGCUUUCGUUCCGAGCAGAGUGCACUUUGCAUGCAUUUUGCAUGCGCUUCCAGCGCACUUUAAAUUAAUGCACUCUCGACUCAAAGCCUCUGCUAAUUCACAUUUCCCUGCACGAGCGUUCCCCUGUAGAUGUGUUCCCGACCCAAAGCCCUUUGCAGAUGGGCGGGGAGCCUCCACGUUGUCUUCCACCCUCAACCCGGGGCUAAAUUAACUGAGCUAAUCGCCCUUACGGCCACGCGUGGGGUGCGGGGGACGCAGCGAACACAUCCUGCCACGCUGCUCCAUCCCGAUGCUCGCCCUAUAGCGCCCUGCCUGCGGGCUGUGGGGCAGCUCUGGGCUCUGCCCUCCGCCUCCCAGAGGGAAAUAAUUCAUCUCGCUGCCCUCCUGCUGACUCUCUCCUGCAUUGAUCCGCUGCCAAUUGGCUGCUCUGCGAGAGGAGCGAGGGUGGAGGCUGCAGGAUUCACUGCCGAUGUUGUAAGGACAAAGUCAAGGGGACGCGCUCUUCUCAGAAACGCAUCCAGGCUGAUUUUGGGAAGAGGGGACGUUUGGGGUCCGGCUGCUGCGUGAUCCCACGUGGGCGAUGCUCUUGGUGUGGGAUGCAUUGGGCCCUCCUCUCGACCCCCCUUUACACGAGCAGCGUUGCGAAGGCUGGGAGGUGAUGAUGGUCCUGUCCUCAUUUUGAACCAAAGGGGUGAGACGUAAUGGCACUCAUUAGCUGUGUGCACUUUCCAUCUGCACAGCGUUGGUCAUUCAGGAGACGUGCCUAAAUAAGGAGCUCUGUGCCCCAAAUUCUCUGCACUCAAUGAAGAGAAAUCAGCACCUUCGGGUCUACGCUGCGGUACUAAUUGCGAACCCCCCAUGAAUCCCCCACUGAGGAGAGAGGAACCUUCAGAGCAGUGCCCCAAAUGUGUCUCCUCUCUUGGAAUGGAUCAUUGGACUCAACCCAAGGGUGGUUUGUUGGCAGAGCUGGAGGGCUGCUGCCCUGUGACGGUGGAAUGGAGCAGUUUGACUCAACCCAAUUGGUUGGCAAAGCCAGAAGGACGUCGUCCUUCUAUACUGGAAUGGAAAGUGGGACUCAACCCAAUGCUGAUUGGCUGGCAAGACCAGAUGGGUUCUGCCCUUUGAUACUGGAGUGGAAAGUGGGACUCAACCCAAUGCCAGCUGGUUGGCAAGGUCAGAUGGAUGCUGCCCUUCGACAACGCAAUGGAACAGUUUGACUCAACCCGAUGCGUAUUGGUUGGCAAGAUCGGAUGGAUGCUGCCUUCAAUACUGGAAUGGAACAUGGGACUCAACCCAACACUGGUUUGCUAGAAAAAUGAACAGACGCUGCCCUUUGGGAAAGCAGUUGAAGCUCAUCUGUAGCAUUCCCUGGGAAAUGAGGGAGCUCGUGGUGCUGGCGCAGGUCAUGGGGUGGAUGGCUCUGGUUGCUGCCGUGCCAUAAAUCCUGGCCAGGCGAGCCUGGCGGCACCGAGAGGUACCCACAAAGGGACAUCCAUCAACGUUAACCCAAAUCAACCUUUAAAAUGGAUUAGCCAGAGCACAUAAAACCCCAUUCUGGACACUUAGCCAGAAUUAGAGUUGGUUUAAUUCACUUGAGCUUAAUUCGCAAAGCUAAACCGAAUUAAGGCUGGCUGCGUUCGGAACGAGCAGCUCCACGCGUGGAGUUUAAUGUGAUUUACAUCGCCUGCUCUCCAUCCACACCUCUGGGUGAUCUAUGUGCCACCGGGGAGCAGAGCUGGCAGGGAAUGCAGGGAACGUCGCCACGCCGCUGCCAGGACCGAACAUCGCUGCAGGGUCACCGAGCCCUGGAGCAGCACGGAGGGAGGAGACGCUUCCAGUUCUCUUCUUGCAGCAGUGGGAGGGAUGGAAGGGACCCUCCAACCCCCCGAUGAAAUUAUAUCUACAUCGGCUGGAAUUCGGCUCUCGUUGACCCCAUCAAACCAGGGAAAUGCCUCCAUUGGGGCUCUGAGGAGGUUUCUUGUCUUCUCCUUAUUAAUCACAGGGAAGAAAGCGGGUCCCUUCCCCUCCCAUAAAUCUUGCUGCAGCGUUGGCCGGACGCUUGGCUCGCUGCCUCCGCGCUCUGCUCCUACAGGGGAUGAAUUGGGGAGGAAGAAGGGAGUUCCUGCACUGCUGUGUGCAGCUCUGGGCUCCUGCGGGGUGCUAAGCACACACUUAAUGCUGAGCAAAUGUUUCCAUGCUUCGUUGAGCCCGGGCAUUAAAAUCGUAAGGUUUGCUUUAAACUUCUGCCCUGCAUUUGCUCGAGCCUGAGGAUUUAUGGCUGGGGUUUGUGUGGAUGGGAAGAGGAGAAAUUUUAUCUGCUUGGGGAGAAAUGAGGCUCUCGUCCUCCCCACCCCGAUUGGUGCCCGCUGGUAACAUGCUGAGAAACCCCAAAGCACUGAACCUGGGGGGGAAUUAUGACCAUUUUCUGUUACCCACAGAGCAUCCGUAACCCUGAUGGACCACUGCGAGUGGAAAACCAGCGACCACCAACCCCACCUCUCCCUGUUUGUCAGUGAUGGAGGCGAUGGGCUCCGCUUCCCAUCAGCACACUUCGUCUUAUGGCACGUUUGGCUUCCAUCCAUUUCCACCUGGGACGAAAGGAGGGGAAAAUGUGGGGGUGUGGAGAUGGGGAAGGGGCUGGCACCGCUCCCUGUGCCCCCACCUCUUCCAAAUAGGGCCGAAAUGUCUCCAACUCCUUCACGUCUCCGAAAUGUCUCCUUUCCAUUAGUGGAUGGGCACCUAUUGAAGGAUCUCAGCUGAGGGAAUUCAAAUGGUUCUAACGCAAACCGCCCUCACGGUAACCAUUAUGGUCCCUUAAAAACAUUUCAUUACGAAGGCAAGCGUAUGUUUUAGCAAUGCUCUGAUGACUCCUCAGUGUCAGGUUUAUCCCAGGCCGGGCGCUUCUCAGAAUGAAUGAGUUGAUGAGAUCCAAGUUCUCCCUUUGUUUAAUGGACUUUAAGUUGUUUAAAUCAUUGGCUUCACUUAAACCCCGCACUUAAAGAAGGGCUGUCUAUUUCUCUCCAUUAAAAGUUCAUCCAUCAUGGAAUGAGUCUUUCCGGAAAGCCCCAAUGGUGAACCAAAAGGUCCACACCAUGUCACAGCUCUGGGUUGGGUGUUUUCACACGGCGUGAGCCAUUUCCUGGCAGAAGGGGCCCAAAAUCACCACCCCAGGUAGUGGGGUUGGUGCUGCACCACGUGGUGACACCACUGGGCUUUGUAUGGGUUGAAAUGUUGGAUAACAGAGUUGGACCGGAGUGCCCACGCAACCCAACCGAUGUGAGGACGCAUGGAGGCUUCACCAUCCACAGCCACUGCUAAACCCAAGGGCUUUCUUCUAAAACAUGCCUCCAGCCAUGAAACCCAAGGGCUUUCCUCUCAAAUACAUCCCCAGCCAUGAAACCCAAGGGCUUUCCUCUCAGAUAUACCCCCCAGCCAUGAAACCCCCGCCAUUUCCUCACACAUACAUCCCUUGGCUCGGCCUUGAGAAGCCAUGCAGCGCAACCCCAUCGAUUACCAUCAUCCUUCCCAUUCCCUUUUACACCCACGAAGCUCAGAGGUGCCCCCCACCACCCCCAGAGCCCGCAGCAGUCAUCCAUUGCCAACUGACUUUGUGUUCUCCUUGCGACGUCGGCGCGCGCGCGCGGCGCAGAUGUAAAUACAUCCCGGCUGUCCUGCUUUGAUUCAUGCUUUGGUAUCGGAUCGCGUGCGCCUCCCUGGACGCCAUAAAUCUCCUCGGGGUAACUCCACCUGAAUUGCUCUUUGUGUGCGUUGCAGGUCGGGAUGAGGAACUGCUCUGCAGGGGAGCCUCUCGCCAGCGCCGUGUUUCCAUUCGCCUGCGCGGAUCGACGUCUGCGGUGGGAGGGAAUUGGGGUAGGGGCAGCCCGGCGUCUCCGGUGUGGAGCUCGGAGGGAGACAGAAAAGUGCUUUUUGGGGACCUGAUGGGUUACAAAUCACACAUCUUUUGUCCCACCCCCGUGGGGAGCAGGAAUGGGGUCAGGGCAGCCCGUGGUUGAAUGUCUCCUUGCGUUUGCCAUCGCCCUGCAGCACCCGGAGUCAUUUGGCUGAGUAGAAGAUGAGGUCCCCCUGAAGUGGAUGCUUGGGGUUCCACAAAGCCAACAAAACCCAACCAGCCCAGAGCCAUCUCACCACGCUGCGACCAUCUCAGAGCCAAAAGUGGCCCUCAGGGCUCACACGAUGCCAUGGGAGCACCUCAAGGGUGUGCUGGGACAUCCUCAUGUGGACGUGGAACCUGGCCUUGGCCAACAGGGGUUCUCGAGGCUCACAUGGCCCAAUGGGAAUGCCUCUAAGAUGUUUUGGGACAUCCUCAUGUGGACGUGGAACCUGGCUUUGGCCCACAGUGGUCCUCCAGGCUCUCCCAGUGCCAUAAGAACAUCUGUAGGGUGCAGUGGGAGAUCCUCCUACGGACAUGGAAGCCGGGCUUGGCCAACAGUGGUCCUCCAGGCUCACGUGAUGCCAUGGGAACACCUCUGGGGUGUAAUGGGGCAUCUUCAUGUGGACAUGGAACCCGGUCUUGGCCAACAGAGGUCCUCCAGGCUUGCACCACAGGAGCACCUCUGGGAUAUACUGGGACAUCCUCGUGUGGGGAUGGGGACACUCAGUCACAGCAACCGGUGCCGACGUCCCCAACCUGGAACACAGAGAGAAGAGGCCACAUCCUGCCCGAGGCCACCACCUUCCCCAUCCAUUCACUCCUUCAGCUCCAGAAAUACCCUGACAUGGGACACUCUGCAUCUCAGAGCUCUCCCCCCAACCAUCCACAGCGCCACGGAGCAAAGCCUGGGUGAGAAACACGUCCGGAUGGGGCUGAGCUCACAGUUCAGGGCGCCUUCCAGCCAAAGGAAGGGAUUCUUUUAUGGAAUCCUGGAGGAAAAAAGGGACUGCAGCACCCAUGGGCUGCCAGGAAGAGUGAGAUUCGUACUGCACAAAAGAUAGGAGAGGAUCACAGAGCACAAAGCCCUCAACGUCUUCCAUUAUAUCCACGAGAAUUAAAAGACAUGGAGCGAGCAUUGAGAACCCGCCGGCUUAAUAACAGAAGUAAAAAGUUGUUAAUCAGGCACGUGACCCUAUAAAAUAAAGGGAAUAAUUGAAAAGAUAUCUAAUUUAUCUAUUGAAUGCCUCCAACGCUCUCUUUAUCACCGAGAUGGACAGAAUAUAAUUGGUGCGGUGAAAGCCAUCAAUCUUAGGAAGUGGGCUUUCUGUACAAGAUACAACUAUUACUGUCAUAUUAUGACACCAUAAUAUCAAGAUCAAUGACAUUUUAAACGCACUCCAGUUAUGGGCAAUUGGUGACAAUAAAAACAGUGACAAAUUGAUGAAACAAGAGCCAAAUGAUCCGGCGUCUAAAAUAAACCAUAAAUAAUCUUCUUAAAAUAUAUAGAGAGAUAUAUCCACCGAACUCGCUGUGGUUGGGGGGCGGUGAUUCCUUCCACCCGAGGUCUCCAAUGGGCCACCGUUCUCAGGAAGGGGAAGCUUCCCCUUUUGAUUUAAGGGUCAUUCCCAUGCGGUUUAAUGAUGUUAUCGUUAGCAUAAUUGUUGCCAUAAAAAGGAAGGUUACGGCUUCGAAGGGCUGAGGAGCCAACGCGACGGCACAGUAAACAGCGGCACCGUUUCUAGAUCUUAUGGCACCAGGAUGGUGAUAUUCCCUCAGGGCCUCCGUGGGCCUUAAAUAAAGAUAAUAACAACCACAGCAAUUGUGUCCGGAGCUCUGCAGAGCGCUCUGAUUGCAGUUAUGGGGACAGCAUUUGGUUUUUUUUAUAUAGAAGGGGGGGAUGGGGGUCAGGGAGGCUGAAAUCCGACAGAUCCAUUCUUCUUCUGAAACCCAAUGAGGUUGGAAAAGACCUCCAAGACCAACAUUACAACCCCAACCCAUUCCCACCAUGAUCACUCAUCGAAUCAUGGAGUCAUUAAGGUUGGAAAUGACCUCUGAGACCAUUGAGUCCAAACCCAACCCAUUCCCACCAUGCUCACUCAUCAAAUCAAGGAGCCAUUAAGGUUGGAAAAGACCUCCAAGACCAACAGUCCAACCCCAACCCGUUCCCACCAUGCUCACUCAUAGAAUCAUGGAGUCUUAAGCUUGGAAAAGAGCUCCAACACCAACAACCCAACCCCAACCCCCCCACCGUGCCCACUAAAACAAGGCUUGGCGUCUCACUGCACCCAAUGGAGGCCGUGCACUGUGGACAUGGCUCUGCCCAACGGCCACCGUUCUCCAGUGGCUGAGCAUUGAGCCAUUUAAGCUCUGAAAAUAAUAAUGAAAAUAAUAAUGAUUUGUUUAAAAAGGGGGAGAAAACAGGGAAAAUCUCUCCAGUUUAUGAGUAAACGUCCCCCCAGAAAAGGAAAGCAAAUGGAGGGGAUGUCCUCAGUGCUGCUAGGGUGGGCGCAGAGGAGUGGAGCUGCCUGGUUCUGCCUCCGACUCGCUCCUUCUCCUCUAUAUUUGAUAAUCACCCCAAAACUGACACCACAACGCGGUGCAAAAUGGCUCAGAAAUGGAAACAACCCCCAACCCCGGCCCAGCUCCACGCUCCGCUCGGAUUCUUUUGGGAUGAAUCCAUGCCAGAACCAUCGUGGCUCUCAGCAGCUCAUUCCCCCGCGGCUCCACGUGUCGUUGCCAACCACAUGUGGUCCUCAGCCUCAUUCUGGGGUGAAUGGCCCCAAAAGCGUCUGCAGGGACUCAGCACGGAGCCUCGGGGUGGGGGGUGAUGGAAAAUCCCACCUCGGGAUCCUCCGCUCUGAGCCAGGGGGGAUUUGAGGGCUGGGUGGGCGCUGGGGGAAGCGUUGGGGUCUCCGCAGGAAGAUGUGAGGUGGGGGAAGGCUGUGGUUUGUGUGCAGGGAGGAACCUGAGGGGAAACUGAGGCACAGCUGUGAUCCGAAGGGGAAACUGAGGCAGGGAAGCGGAUGGGGAGGAUGAAGAGGGGACCCCACUCCGCUGCCUCAGCUCCAUUGGAAGCCACCCCCUGAGCCCCCCUGGCCUUCACAGCACACCUCGGUGACCACCCCUAAGGAGCAGCCGAAGCUCCAGCAGAAUUAAACACCGGGAGAUGGAGCAGCAAAGCAUCACUCAGCCCACGCUGAUAGCGAGCGGCUCUAAUGCUGAAAUAUGGGCCGUUUAGGGGAAGCCAACCCAUCUCCCUGCAAAGAAAAAAUAAUAUCAUACCAACACAACAACUUGCAGCUUGAUAAAAGAUACGCCGGGUAAAUACAUUAAUGGGAGGUAAUUGAAAACUGGUGGGUAAUCUUUAAGCAAUCACGGAGCUCAGCCGUCGGGGCGGCGGCGGAUGCACGGAUGGCACCGUUUUCCACAUCACAGCCUGGGUGUUUUAUGGGGUUGGGUCUCCGAGUGGAACAGCGGUGUCAUAUUUAGCUUUCUAAUUAUAUUUCGAGAUGCUCCAGCAGCUCUCCCUGCCGCGCAGCACGUGGGGCUGAACAAAGGGGGAAUUGCAGCCAUAAAAGAGAGAGAGGACGAGGUAUCAGCGGAUGGAAGAGAUAAAGAUGUUCCCUCUCCUCUUCCUGAGCUGGCUGAUAUUAAUAGGACAGGAGGCUCUCAGCUCCUGGGCAUGGAGGAGAAGGCUGCAGGGUGGUUCUUUAAUGCUGCUUUGCAAUUUGCUUUCAUUCUCCGGCCCCGAAGCGGCGAUCCGUGCAGCUCCAGCGUUGCUCUCCUUGCUCGGCACCACGCGCAUCCCCAAUCUUAUUCUUGGGUGUGAGGCUGUGGGCACUGAGCUCUCAUUGCGUGGGGGUGUGGGGACCCCACGGUGCUGAGCUCCUUUUGCAUUGGGACCCCACAGUGCUGCGCUCCCAUUUGCAUGGGGGUGUGGGGACCCCACGGUGCUGUGCUCCCAUUGCAUUGGGACCCCACAGUGCUGUGCUCCCAUUGCAUGUGGAUGUGGGGACCCCACAGUGCUG